This 933-nucleotide ribosomal RNA is filed under the name uncultured eukaryote. Its description in RNAcentral is "bacterial SSU rRNA". It matches the Rfam family "Eukaryotic small subunit ribosomal RNA", at positions 21 to 1129 of the family's 1831-position model. The record is from RNAcentral.
UAGCAUAUGCUUGUCUUGAAGAUUAAGCCAUGCAUGUCUAAGUAUAAGUUAUACAAGGCGAAACUGCGAAUGGCUCAUUAAAACAGUUAUAAUUUAUUUGACGAUAAACCUUACAUGGAUAACCGAGGGAAACUUCAGCUAAUACAUGCUAUUUUGUAUUUAUUAGUUACAUUUGAUGAUUCGUAAUAACUUAUCGAAGUGCCUAUGCACUACGUCAUUCAAGUUUCUGCCCUAUCAGCUUUGAUUGUAGUGUAUUGGACUACAAUGGCAAUAACGGGUAACGGAGAAUUAGGGUUCGAUUCCGGAGAAGGAGCCUGAGAAACGGCUACUAUGUCUACGGUAAGCAGCAGGCGCGUAAAUUACCCAAUCGUAAAUCACGGAGGUAGUUAAUAGAUAUACUCAGGUGUCUUUCACCUGGAAUGAAACAAACUUAAAUAGCUUGUUCAAUACUAUUGGAGGGCAAGUCUGGUGCCAGCAGCCGCGGUAAUUCCAGCUCCAAUAGCGUAUACUAAUAUUGCUGCAGUUAAAAAGCUCGUAGUUGAAAGUGCGAACAUUAGUGUUUGUAGCAGUUCAUCUGCAUUUUAUUAUGAAUAAAUUAGAGUGUUUCAGGCAGGCUUCGCUUGAAUACAUCAGCAUGGAAUAAUUGAAUAUGAUUUGAACCUCGUAAGGGUGAGAAUAAUGAUUAACAGAACAGUUGGGGGCAUUCGUAUUUAAUAGCUAGAGGUAAAAUUCUUGGAUUUAUUAAAGACGAACUAAAGCGAAAGCAUUUGUCAAGGAUGUUUUCAUUAAUCAAGAACGAAAGUUAGGGGAUCAAAGACGAUUAGAUACCGUCGUAGUCCUAACCAUAAACUAUGCCGACUAGGGAUUGGUAGUUAAUAAAACUAUCAGGACCUACGAGAAAUCAAAGUCUUUGGGUUCUGGGGGGAGUAUGGU